This 494-nucleotide ribosomal RNA is filed under the name uncultured bacterium. RNAcentral describes it as "partial 16S ribosomal RNA". It matches the Rfam family "Bacterial small subunit ribosomal RNA", at positions 28 to 507 of the family's 1533-position model. The record is from RNAcentral.
GACGAACGCUGGCGGCGUGCUUAACACAUGCAAGUCGAACGGUGAAGCGCCUUCCUUUUUGGUGGGUGUGGAUGAGUGGCGAACGGGUGAGUAACACGUGAGUAACCUGCCCCCUUCUUCUGGAUAACCGCAUGAAAGUGUGGCUAAUACGGGAUAUUCUGGGUCUGUCGCAUGAUGGGUCUGGGAAAGAUAUUGUUUCGGUGGGGGAUGGGCUCGCGGCCUAUCAGCUUGUUGGUGGGGUGAUGGCCUACCGAGGCGGUGACGGGUUGCCGGCCUGAGAGGGUGGACGGGCCAAGUGGGGAAGCGACCCCGCCCAGACUCCGAAGGGAGGCAGCAGGGGAGAAUAUUGAACAAUGGGGGACAGGCUGCAGCCGCGGCGCCGCGGGGGGGAUGGAGGCCCUUGGGUUGUGAACCCCUUUCGGCAGUGAAGGAGGGCUAGCUCGUUUGUUGGUGGGUUGACGGUAGCUGGAGAAGAAGCGCCGGCUAACUACGUG